Molecule: long non-coding RNA, 3820 nt
Filed under: Brassica napus (rape)
Lineage: Eukaryota; Viridiplantae; Streptophyta; Magnoliopsida; Brassicales; Brassicaceae
Description: long non-coding RNA (BNAP_LNC001335)
Source: RNAcentral
AACCCAGUAAAGUGCUUGAACCAGGAUCAUGUCCACCCACGCGGCUCUGUUCAUCAUUCUUGGAAGCUUCUCAAGAAACGCGUCGAGUUUUAUAGGGAGAGACUCUGCUGCGGUUAGCAAACCGGAGAUCUUGUGGAAGAAGAAGGUGGUUGAAGGGAAGUAAGCCUCGAUUGCGAGGAUGUGGUCGUCGGCUACGGAGAGGAUUGCGAGAAGGUGGCGACGGAAGGGACUUGUCAUGGAGGCGAAGAAGAGAAGGAGUUGGAAGAGUUUCUGCACGAGGAAGGAGGCUGGAUUGGUCGGAGUCUUGGUUCUUGUGUAAAGGACGCGAGACAUGGAGAGUAUGGUAGCACCACAGGUCUCAAGAGGCCGAGGUCGUGGUAUCUUUCUCGCUGUUUGUUCCUGCCAUAAUCCAUAAUAACAAAAUAAAACAAGAUAGGAUGGCAAGAGAAUUCGAGAAAUGAACAGGGAAAAAGUACAUACCAUCUUAAGAUGAGGAAUGAAUGCUGAUACAAAUUCACAGGAGAAUAGUUCCAGGAAAAUGUUGAGAAUUUUGUUCUUUACGUAUUGGUUUGAGCAUUUUAUAGGAAGCUGCUUUAAACGUUAGGGGGAAAGUGAGCGGUUAAACUCGAUUUCAGCUGGAAGGCUUUUUGAAUUAGCGGUUACGCUUUUUUCUUCUUUCUAUCCCAUCUUCGUAGCUAAAUUACUUCUUUUUUUUUCUUUAUCCGGGCAACGGGCCAAUAGUCUUUUUGAGUAAGAUUUCACUAACAUCUUUUUUUUUUUUUUGAAACCAAAUUUAACUAACAUUUCUACAUCAAUAUUUCUAUACCAGGAAAUUUAUGUUUCUAUUAACCUCAUAUCUUUAUAAAAUGUUUUGUGGUGUUAGAAGUAGAAAUUUUGAAAUUAAAAACUCUAUUAAUCAUCGAAUUUGAUACAUUUUUUUUUUGAAUUUGAUAAGUUAACUGAGAAGUUGUGUUCUUUGUAGUGCUGGAAAGCGGGUCAAAUCCACCUCAUUUAACUCACUCCGCAUAAUCGACACAUUGUUGAUCCACACUAGUUCUCUUAAAAAUUAUAGAUAAUUUGCAAGACUUAUGGGUAAUUUUCAUUUUCUAAAAUAAUUAUUUUAAUCAUAUUUAAUUAUUUAUUUCAUAAAUAAUAUUAAUUAUAUAUAUAGUUAGAAUAACAUAAUUAUUGAAGUUUAUGUACUCUUAUUAUAUAAUUUUUUUUCAUUUUUUUUUUCAAUUUACAAGUUGUGGAUACCCACAAUUCAAAUUAAGCCAAUUCACAAUUGUUCUACAAAAAAAAACUUGACCCAUAAAUCAAAUUUCUUAAAUAAGCUCUAUUAAGUUAGGGUGUGUUUGGCUAUUAGUGUAGAUGCUCUUCGCAACCACAAAUACUUAUAGCCCAAAUUUAAAGAUUUUUAAAAAUUAAAAAUCUAAAUACAAAGCAAAAAAAAAUCAUAGUAAUAUUUCUACAGCCAAAAAUGAAAUUACAAUUCUUACCAAUCAAAUCUUUGUUAACAGAUCAAACGAGGCGUAACCUGCAGAUAUUGACUCAAGUUCACAGCCCUAGUCCUUUACGGUUUACACAAUGACCAAAUGUAACAAUUUUUGGCAUUAAAUAUUUAAGGGAUCAACAAUAAAAAUGUUAUUCCUUUAAAUUGAUGGCAAGCAUUAGCUACCACUCCUUUCCAAAUUGUUCUCUUAACAGUACUAAGAAAGAGAAUUUUUACAGUUCCCCAAAGAAAUGGGAAUAUACGUUACCUCUCUCACAAAGUAACAACCAAUUUACAAUAAUGAAGAUAUACUUUAGAGAAACUACAAUAAAGCAAACUAUUACACCAGAAAAGUAAAUAUAUCAUUAAUAGUAUCUGAAAAUUAAAAAAAAUAAUCAAAAUAUACUUUUGAUAACCCUCCAAGGCCUUCUCGCAUCAACAGUUGAACAUCUGUGGAUCGACAAGUCAUUAGCCAUAUUACUAAACCUUGCUUCGAGCCAACAGGGCAAAGAUGAGGCGGUGUCAUCACAAGGCAUGAUCAGCAGUCUAGCAACAGUGCUUGACAUGGGUGACACAACACAGCAAGAGCAAGCUGUUUCAUGUCUUUUGAUUCUAUGCAACGGAAGAGAGUCUUGUAUCCAGAUGGUGCUGCAAGAAGGUGUGAUACCAUCACUAGUGUCAAUCUCAGUGAACGGGACUACACGAGGCAGAGAGAAGUCUCAGAAGCUUCUAAUGCUGUUCAGGGAACAGCGGCAGCAACGGGACCAGCCAUCACUGAAGAGAGAUGAGGAGCCGCCAUCACAGAAGGAAGCUCCCAGGAAGUCUCUGUCGGCACCAAUGUAUGUCCAUGAAUCACCAGCUCAACCUUCAGCUUCAGGUCCGGAAUUUGAACCAAGAGUCUUGUCGAAAUCGAUGUCUAGAAGAAAGUCUUUGGCGAGGCCGUUUAGUUUCUUCUGGAAGAAAAGCUACUCGACUCGCCAGUGAGUGAGGGAGUGAAUGAAUGAUAUGAACAACCUUUGUAUGUAAAGCUUUGUUUUUGUUUUUUCUUCUUACAAGUUACAAAACGUCAUCUCAUAGAGAAGAAGAUAUGUACAGGCCACAAUGUGACUACACUCGAUUUUGCUGCUUUUUUUGGUUAGCCAAAAAGAAGAAUGUAUAUGAAUGAAGUUAAUAAAUAGUAAAAGUAUAAAACAAAACCACAAUGUUAUAGUAUAACAUAACUACAAAAGCCUGUUCCAAAUUAUAUAUAUAACAAUUAAUAUUUUCUUUUGUCAACUACUCAGACUAACUAGACCAAGUUCAAAAUGUUGAAAAUUUUACUUUGUAUGGAUUUUUCUCAAAUUACUCUUGAAUUAGUUAUUAAUAUAAUUUGUGAGAAGUUCCCAAUGUGGAUGUCUUUAUGUUCCUCUGUUUAAUAAAACACACAAAAAUUCACUAAGAGUUAAAUGGUAACUUAAAAAUAUGAUAUUAAGUUAUUAAAUAAUUUACAAAGAGAUGAACAGAAAAGUUAUAGAGGUGGGGGAGUAGGACAACAUAGUCUACUAGUUUGUGUUAGUGUUGUUGUUUUGGAACCGUAUAUGAGAGUUAAAAGACCUCUCAGGUGGUGGUCUCGUAGGAAUCAGAACGAGAGCAUGUGAGCGAAUCAGCGCUUCGACUACUUCUUUUCAUGGGCUUCUGGAUCCAACCGUUCUCAAACAGAUCCAAGAUAGGAUCUCCCUGGUUGCUGCUGCUGCGACCGGUGCUUCCUCCACCAUCUUCACCGCUGCUUCCUCUCUGUAACGCCUCCUUGUAACUCACUCUUUUCCCAUCAUUCUCCAGUUUCAUCUCUUCUUCAGACAUCGAUCCUGUUCUGCUAAAACUGCUAUCCACCGUGAUCUCUUUCUCAUUUGUCCCCUUGUUCUUAUCCCUCCAAUGGCCUAACACGUUCACGAGAGAAUCAACCCAGUAAAGUGCUUGAACCAGGAUCAUGUCCACCCACGCGGCUCUGUUCAUCAUUCUUGGAAGCUUCUCAAGAAACGCGUCGAGUUUUAUAGGGAGAGACUCUGCUGCGGUUAGCAAACCGGAGAUCUUGUGGAAGAAGAAGGUGGUUGAAGGGAAGUAAGCCUCGAUUGCGAGGAUGUGGUCGUCGGCUACGGAGAGGAUUGCGAGAAAGUGGCGACGGAAGGGACUUGUCAUGGAGGCGAAGAAGAGAAGGAGUUGGAAGAGUUUCUGCACGAGGAAGGAGGCUGGAUUGGUCGGAGUCUUGGUUCUUGUGUAAAGGACGCGAGACAUGGAGAGUAUGGUAGCACCACAGGUCUCAAGAGGCCGAGGUCGUGGUAUCUUUCUCGC